Molecule: long non-coding RNA, 4764 nt
Filed under: Fragaria vesca (wild strawberry)
Lineage: Eukaryota; Viridiplantae; Streptophyta; Magnoliopsida; Rosales; Rosaceae
Description: long non-coding RNA (FVES_LNC001661)
Source: RNAcentral
UCGGGAGUCCGACGCCCUCGUCGGCACACUCGCACCACACGGCAGAGUGGCUCUGAUACCAUUUGUCACACCCCAGGACCCAUUCCGCCGUAACACGAUAUUGUCCGCUUUGGGCCCACCGGCCCUCACGGUUUUGUUUCCGGCAGCUCAGGAGCAGCUUCCUAGUAGGUCACCCAUCUUGGGAUUGCUCUAGCAUCAACAUGCUUAACCUCGGAGUACCCAUCCCCUCCGAAGCCGCUGAGCCACCAAAAGGCCUCGUGUUAGAUUGGAGGUGGGCAUGUAUAUAUACAGCACAUAACCCCUCUCCGUUUGGCCGAUGUGGGAUAUUACAAUAAAAAAUUUGGACCAUUUCUAGAUUUAUGCGUGUCAUCCUUGCGCAGGGGCCAUGCUAAUCUUCUCUAUAUCGUUCCAAUUUUAUCGGAUGUCCACGUAACACGAUAUUGUCCGCUUUGGGCCCACCGGCCCCCACGGUUUUGUUUCCGGCAGCUCAGGAGCAGCUUCCCAGUAGGUCACCCAUCCUGGGAUUGCUCUAGCAUCAUCAUGCUUAACCUCAGAGUACCCAUCCCCUCCGAAGCCGCUGAGCCACCAAAAGGCCUCGUGUUAGAUUGAAGUUGGGCAUGUACAUAUACAGCACAUAACCCCUCUCUGUUUGGCCGAUAUGGGAUAUUACAGUUUAAUUCAUAUAAGGGGUAUGGACACAUAUUUAUACACCCGUCUGUCCACCUUGAUGGCGUAGUGUAGCACCGCAUUAAGGCGUGACGUGAGCGUUGGACGCGAGCGUAGUAGCCCUAUAUAGACCCAUGAAUUUAUAUAGGGAGUAUGGACGAGUGUAAAUACAUACAUAUAUUAUAGAGUCUGAGAGGCUCGAUAUUUUAUGAGAUAAAAGUUUUAUCGCUUGCGGCAUGCAUUCGAUUUUUCCUUAGAAAUUAAUUUGGGGAAACAUAAAUAUUUUAUUUAUUAUUUUAUUUUUUGUCCACUCACUCUAACGUUAUUAAAUGUUUUCCCCUGGGCCCUUCGUUUUAAAUUGCCCAGUCUGCAGAGUUCGGGUUGGAUCUAGUAGGAGGGGAGGCAUAGUCACCCGCAUUUCUGCCAGUUUUCGUUAGUAGGUUACUUGUUCAACCUACUCGUGUUUUCUUGCUUCCGCUAGUGUUUAGUAGCUCUGAAUACUUUGGGAUUAUUGUAUAUUAUGUGUAGAAUUUCUGAAGGAUAAUUAUGUGAUGUUUGGAAGUGCUAAAUUAAGAGUGUAAUUUGGAAUUUUCGAGUUAGGGUUGUCUAUCUGCAAGGGAGAUUUUCUUAAUCUUUUCAGUAAAUUUUCCUUGGAGGUGGUCCUCGCACGACUUACUCCGGGUUUUAGGGUGAAAUUUGGGGUGGGUCGUGUCAUUGACUAUGCCUUUUCUCCAUGUACGCCCGACCUCAACUAUACUAACCUGCAUACUAGGCAUUUUUGAAACGAAGGGCCCAAGGGAAAACAUUUGAAAUUGUUAGAGUGAGUGGACAAAAAUGAAUUUAAUGAAAAAUGUCACGCCCCGGUUCUUAAGUUAUUUUACGGUUAUUUACUUUAGUAUUAUUUUGGUCUUUUACCGUGUUAAGUAACCGGUUACCCCUUAAGGACCCUAAAGUUGACUUUCUUUUCCGUUUGGAUUUUGGGGAAACUUUCUUCAUGAAAGUUGUAGAGGACGUUAAUACGAGUUCGUAGACAUGCUAUGUGUUAAAAUCGGAGUUAGCAUGAAAAAGUUAUUAUUAAAAGAGUAAAUUUUGAGUUAGAAAAGGGGCGUAAUUAUUAAUGGGUAUUAUUUUUUGGUCGGGUUUAUAGCUGGGCCGGCUGUGGAGAAGCCCAAAACCCUCACCCCUCAUUUCCUCUCUCUCCCUCUCUCCCUCACCCGUCACUUUCUCUCCCUCCCUCACCCGUGCAACUUGACCGCCGGAGAAGAGCCUCUGUCCGCUGCCGUCCGGCCGCCAGGGACCGCCGGACCACCUCUACCUGGACCCCCCGCCACCUCCUCUCCCUCCCCGGCCUAGCCCCCGAGCCGUUAGCCCGCUGGAAGAGGAGAAAACCCGCCGGAGACGCCGGGAAGCUUUUCGUCGGAAAUCCCACCUUCGGCCGCCAUAAGUCGAAAUCUUUAACUCAUCUUGUAGCCCUCAUCAAGGUGAGUAAUCCCUCAAAAGGAAUUAGUCUAUCUCGUUGUGGUUAUAGAGAAAUGUAUAAUUGAAGUUUUAGGGAUUUAUGGAUGUUUUGGUUCGAUUGCCCUAGUUAGCCUUAGAAAUGGACUAAGUGCUAGUUAUGAAUGUUGUUGAGCAUGAUGAGAGGAAUAUUCUGUGAAAAUUUGAGAAGUAUUGGAGGUCUCCGGAAAACGGCUGCCGGCCGCCGCCACCGGCAGGGCAGCUGCCGCCGCCGCCCCUUAAGGGCAGUUUUUCCUGUUUUUGAGAUGGUUUUAAUAAGAGGAGUUUAUUGAAAUAUAGUUUGGAAUUUUUGGAUGAGUUUUGGUUUGGUUUGGAAUUUUUCGGAGAUUGGAGAAAAGGCCGGUUAUUAGAAUGAAAAUCCGGCCGUUGGAUUUCCUUGGUAUUUAUUAUAGAAUGUUAGAAUUGAUGAAUUAAGGUUGUGGUGGAGUUUGGUGUGAAUCCGGCAAGUUUAACCCUAUUAAGAGUAGAGGGUUAAACGGAGGAGAGUUAGAUAUUUUAAUUCACGUAUUUAUUUUCUAGAAUUGAAGUUUGGUUCUAAGCAUGGUUGUUGUACCAGGAUGCGAAGGGAACCUCGCUUGAGUGGCGUUGCGGUUAUCGUCGGGCUUAUGCCCAAAUUUCUGAGUGGACAUUUUGGUUUUAAAAAUAAAUAUGCAUGCAAGAUUUUAUAAUCUAUCAUUUUAUUUUCCGAGCAUAUAAUAUAAUUUUUCAGUUCAUGAGAUGAGCUUGAAAAUUAUUUGAGUUUGGUGCAUUUAUUAAGUGUUGGUCAUGAUUUAUGGAGUUGAGCUCGGAUUAUUAUUUUGAUAUUUGAGUUUGGAUAUUUUUAUAAAUUCCGGAUUUCAUUAAAUGGUUUUAAUGGUGGAUUUUGAGAUUUAUAUAAGAUUUCCGAAAAUGGGAUUUUCGGUAGUUUCCUAUUUUUAAUUCUCGAAAUUAUUGGUGGAAUAUCGAUCUUGACUUUGAGUUUUAUAAAUGAUUACCGAAAAUGGGAUUGUCGGUAGUUCUCCUCAUAAUUUAAUUGUUCAUUUGAGGCAUAAUGAUUUUGACUUGGAGAAUAUUUUAGCGAGUAUUUCGGGCGUAGAUACUAUUAUUUAUGAUUCAUAUUUGUUAUUGAAAUCUCGCUUAUAUUUAUAAAUUGGAGAAUAUUUUGACGUGUGAGACACGUCAUUGAGUUGUGUUAUGAUUUCUUCUGAUGAUUUUCAUGUACGGUUGGGAACCGUACCAUUCGUUUGGUCUUGGGGGAAGUUUAAUGGAUUUAAGUGACUUCGUAUGUUUUAGUCACCAUAUUAUAGGGUCGUUUAUCUUAAUUAUUGCUAGCUAAUCUUAUUGGCGGUCCUCAUCAUAUGUGAGUCGCUAUUAUAGCCUUAUUAGCGGUCUUCUUCAUAUGUGAGUAGAGCGCUUAGCAUGGGACGCUAUUAUAGCUUGGGAGGCAACCGAUCGGUAUUUAUAUUUAUUAGUUAGCUAGCCUUAUUAGCGGUCCUCAUCAUAUGUGAGUUGAGCACUUAGCGUGGGACGCUAUUAUAGCCUUAUUUAGUGGUCCUCAUCAUAUGUGAGUUGAGCGUUUAGUGUGGGACGCUAUUAUAGCCUAGGAGGCAUCGACCUGAGCCUGGGAGGCUCCUUUUUCAUGGUGAUAACUCUUCCCCUAUUUUAUUCUUCUCAAUAAUAUAUUUGAUUAACCAGCGGGGCUGGUUUAUCUCCUCUUAUGAGAUUUAUGUUUUAACUAACCAGCGGGGCUGGUUUGUCCUUUAUUAAGUGAUUUUGGAUUUAAAGUUUUAAGGACGUUUAAGUUGCAUGUUGUUAAGUUUUAAAAGUUGAAAAGUGGGAAAGUAUAUAAGUUUUAUAAUUGUUAAGUUACUGAAUUUAUUUUCGUCCACUCACUCUAACAUUUUUAAAUUAUUUUCCCCUAGGCCAUUUGGUUUAUAAAUGCCCAGUUUGCAGGCUAAGUUAUUUGAGGACGAGCGUACAUGGAGUCGAGGCAUAGUCAGAGGCUGUUUCCGCUUAUUCAUUUUCAUUGUUUUCAUUCAUCAUUAGAUAUGCUCUGAAAGUCCAAUAAUAGCUUAUUAAAUGUCUUUGUUGUUGAUUGUGGAAUUAUUAUUAGAUGAGAAAUUGUUAUUGGGAGUUUUGAUGAACUUGGGGAGCAUGAAGGCUCCAGGAGACGAGGAUGGAUGUUUGUUUAUAGAAGUGUUAAGUUGGAUUUUUCAGGAAAGGGUUGUCCAUUUUCAAGGAAGGUUAUGCCGAAUUUUCGGUAAAUUUUCCUUGAAGGUGGACCCUGCAGGAUUUACCUCGGGUUUCAGGAUGAAAUUCGGGGUGGGUCCUGACAAAAAAUAUUUACGCUUUCCUAGUUUAAAUUUCCAUAGAAAAUAUACUGCAUGCGACAGCUCAAAAGCUCUCAACUCAUCAAUUGGCAAUUACAUGACUAGCUCCGGCUAGUCUCCAAACUUAAUAAAAUAAAGCCUCUCAGGCUAAAAUAAUAUAUAUAUAUAUAUAUAUAUGUAUUUACACUCGUCAUACUCUUUGUACGAAUUCCAUGAAGGAAUAAGAAAAAUAGAAAUUCAUACAAGGCUACUACGCUUGUGUCUAACAUUCACG